This 315-nucleotide ribosomal RNA is filed under the name uncultured eukaryote. RNAcentral's name for it is "partial 18S ribosomal RNA". It matches the Rfam family "Eukaryotic small subunit ribosomal RNA", at positions 1470 to 1796 of the family's 1831-position model. The record is from RNAcentral.
CCCUUAGACGUUCUGGGCCGCACGCGCGCUACACUGACCAGUGCAACAAGCAUCCGUCCUUGGCCGACAGGCCCGGGCAAUCUUUGAACGCUGGUCGUGAUGGGGAUAGACUUUUGCAAUUUUUGGUCUUCAACGAGGAAUUCCUAGUAAACGCAAGUCAUCAACUUGCAUUGAUUACGUCCCUGCCCUUUGUGCACACCGCCCGUCGCACCUACCGAUUGAAUGGUCCGGUGAAGCCUCCGGAUUGGCGCGCACCCCGGUGCCGCCGAGAAGUUGGCUAAACCUUACCAUUUAGAGGAAGGUGAAGUCGUAACA